Molecule: ribosomal RNA, 507 nt
Filed under: uncultured bacterium
Lineage: Bacteria
Description: partial 16S ribosomal RNA
Rfam family: Bacterial small subunit ribosomal RNA
Source: RNAcentral
GACGAACGCUGGCGGCGUGCCUAAUACAUGCAAGUCGAACGCAUUUUCUUUCACCGUAGCUUGCUACACCGAAAGAAAAUGAGUGGCGAACGGGUGAGUAACACGUGGGUAACCUGCCCAUCAGCGGGGGAUAACACUUGGAAACAGGUGCUAAUACCGCAUAAUUCCAUUUACCGCAUGGUAGAUGGGUGAAAGGCGCUUUUGCGUCACUGAUGGAUGGACCCGCGGUGCAUUAGCUAGUUGGUGGGGUAACGGCCUACCAAGGCUGCGAUGCAUAGCCGACCUGAGAGGGUGAUCGGCCACACUGGGACUGAGACACGGCCCAGACUCCUACGGGAGGCAGCAGUAGGGAAUCUUCGGCAAUGGACGCAAGUCUGACCGAGCAACGCCGCGGGAGUGAAGAAGGGUUUCGGAUUGUAAAACUCUGUUGUUAGAGAAGAACAAGGAUGAGAGUGGAAAGUUCAUCCCUUGACGGUACCUAACCAGAAAGCCACGGCUAACUACGUG